RNAcentral lists this long non-coding RNA (663 nucleotides) under Marmota marmota marmota (Alpine marmot). Its description in RNAcentral is "lncRNA (ENSMMMG00000006355.1)". The record is from RNAcentral. Lineage: Eukaryota; Metazoa; Chordata; Mammalia; Rodentia; Sciuridae.
CCGCUCUCCAGUCGCUAGGACAUGGGGAGGCAGAGAGACGCUUGUGGACGGCAUCUGGGGAAGCAGUUGGCUGUGGGUUGCUAGGCAAAAAUAAACAUCAGAGACACCUCCCAUUUCCUUACAACUGGAAGCCUUUUCCCCACGCGGCCACUGGGAGAGACACACCUUCCUCUCUGCUCUCUGCUGCGAGGGAGCGACACCUCUAAAUUCUCUCGUCCUCUGGUCACCGGUUUUGCCAUUUCAACAGUUACGAACGAGAGAGGAAAGCUGGACAAAUCUCAGAUGACAGGGCAGAAAGUUAUGCUGUGGAUUUCUUUUCUGAGAGGUAUCUAGUUUUUGAAGUUCUCCUGGGGAUAAGGGUCCAUUCCACUCCACCCAGCAGCGUGCGUCUUCAAGCCCCUUGCAGGACCCAGCUUGCAGGCCCAAACUAGUGCAGACUCCAAAGAGAAGGGAGCCACCUCCUGCGGAGUUCCAUCGCCUCUACUGUUUGCAAAUUGUCAUAGCAACCUCCCACAGCGAUCACCUUCAGCUUCACACAAAGCCAAAAGUUGAGUAUUUCAAGCUAAUCUGCCCCCUUUGCCUCAGGGGAAUGGAAAAAGAACAACAACAACAAAAAGAAGUAUCCAUGGCAGUUGAAGUGGGGGUUCUUCUAAACAUGACCAC